This 468-nucleotide ribosomal RNA is filed under the name uncultured bacterium. Its description in RNAcentral is "partial 16S ribosomal RNA". It matches the Rfam family "Bacterial small subunit ribosomal RNA", at positions 28 to 507 of the family's 1533-position model. The record is from RNAcentral.
GACGAACGCUGGCGGCGUGCUUAACACAUGCAAGUCGAACGGAAAGGCCCUGCUUUUGUGGGGUGCUCGAGUGGCGAACGGGUGAGUAACACGUGAGUAACCUGCCCUUGACUUUGGGAUAACUUCAGGAAACUGGGGCUAAUACCGGAUAGGAGCUCCUGCUGCAUGGUGGGGGUUGGAAAGUUUCGGCGGUUGGGGAUGGACUCGCGGCUUAUAAGCUUGUUGGUGGGGUAGUGGCUAACCAAGGCUUUGACGGGUAGCCGGCCUGAGAGGGUGACCGGCCACAUUGGGACUGAGAUACGGCCCAGACUCCUACGGGAGGCAGCAGUGGGGAAUAUUGCACAAUGGGCGGAAGCCUGAUGCAGCAACGCCGCGUGCGGGAUGACGGCCUUCGGGUUGUAAACCGCUUUCGCCUGUGACGAAGCGUGAGUGACGGUAAUGGGUAAAGAAGCACCGGCUAACUACGUG